CUCCCAGCUGAGCCCAGACCAACAGCCGUCACGGCAGGACGGAGCAGCCAGGCAGUAACUCCUCCUGAUGCCCACAUGGGAGCUGGAAAUGAGUCAUCCUAGUACUUACAUUUCCCAAUCCCAUAGGUGAGGCCAGAAGACUAUCAGGCAACACAAGCUGGUAAAAAAAGGCUGAUAAUGCUGAGUUUAGCAAGAAAUGUUUCAGUCCUGGCAGUCCCAUCCAGGAGCCAGAAGAGGCCCUUUCUCUCUCCUUUAAUAUGGUAACCAAAUUGGUUACUGUGUUCACCGAGUGAAUUUGGCAUUCGUGCUCCAGAAAGUUUGGUAGCCGUCCCCGUGGAGGUGCCCUCAAUGUGAGAGUUAAGGUCUGCUGCAGAGGUUGGGCUCUGCUUCUGUUGAACAUGGCUACUGUGCAAAACUGGGCACAAGGCCCCUUGGCUAGGGGUACACAUAACCCUUUGUGAGGAACCCAGGUGUCCUGUUACUUUCUUAGAUGGCUCCCUCUGGGCCCUAAUGACUCUAAUGUAACAGUGGUGGGUGGGAGGUAUGUUUUUUUCAGCCCGAACUGUGGGUCAGAGGCUGUAGUUGCCAGCAAAGGCCAGUUUCACCAAGUAGAGCUGUGCACUCCAAGGAUGGCAUGGAGGUUUAAGACCUGGUCUUCUACUUUCCUGAAUGAAUACACUAAGAAAUAUGCUGUGCGUAAAAAGCUUGUGAAUCCUGAUUUCACAUCUGCAGCUUCGUGUAGGCUUGAAGCAGAUGCCUGAAGGGUAGAGAGAGGCAGAACACUGUCUGUCACCCUCCUGUCCCUCACGGAGGAGCUUCCUCUCCCCUUCACUGCAGUGCUGUGACUUUCACUCAGAUACUUCAUCUUUCCUCUGCUCCAAUGACUCAUUUAAGACUGCGGCUCUGCUCUGGACAUCAGGAACAUAAAAGGUGUCAAGCAACAAAAAUCAUCCAACCUUCUGUGCUGAACCCAGUGAAAGGAAGGUAUCAGGGCUUCCAUGGGUGCUUUAGUCUUCUUGCAGACCUAAACAUGCAAUCUGCCUUGAAAGAACAGUGAGGUACAACUCCUAGAUGAUUUGUCAUGUCUAAAGCCAACCUCGACCAUUGAUUUUCCUAAAGGGGCUGUUGGAGCAGUUAAUACUGUGGCACCUCAAGACGUGAAUCAGAGCCUAGUUAUUACAAACCAGCACAAAUAACUAAACAGUGCUGCUCUGUUUGACACGCGCUCUUGCAGUCAAGCUCAUUCUGGAUCUUUCGACCUUCUCGACUCAUGCCGUUGCAGUGAGAAUCGGCAAGUUCCUCCGCAUACUCACAGUCCCAACAAGGAGGUCAACGUGAGAGAGAACCUGGAGCACCUUAAGGCACACCUUUUAGCUGCCUAAACUGUUGCACUGAGAAUUUUUUCAUGGGAGGAAAAGUUCUGAAGAACUUCAGUUUGGAACUAUCCAAGCAUUUUGCUCCAGUGUUGUUGAUCUAAAUGUAACAUUUUAAUGUUGCUGAAUUAAAAAUGUUUUCUUGUGC
Long non-coding RNA from Grus americana (Whooping crane), 1521 nucleotides. RefSeq lists it as uncharacterized. Lineage: Eukaryota; Metazoa; Chordata; Aves; Gruiformes; Gruidae. The record is from RefSeq and is a predicted model, not a curated record. The transcript is spliced from 5 exons.